AUUGAACGCUGGCGGCAUGCCUUACACAUGCAAGUCGAACGGCAGCACGGGUGCUUGCCCCUGGUGGCGAGUGGCGAACGGGUGAGUAAUACAUCGGAACAUGUCCUGUAGUGGGGGAUAGCCCGGCGAAAGCCGGAUUAAUACCGCAUACGAUCUACGGAUGAAAGCGGGGGACCUUCGGGCCUCGCGCUAUAGGGUUGGCCGAUGGCUGAUUAGCUAGUUGGUGGGGUAAAGGCCUACCAAGGCGACGAUCAGUAGCUGGUCUGAGAGGACGACCAGCCACACUGGGACUGAGACACGGCCCAGACUCCUACGGGAGGCAGCAGUGGGGAAUUUUGGACAAUGGGCGAAAGCCUGAUCCAGCAAUGCCGCGUGUGCGAAGAAGGCCUUCGGGUUGUAAAGCACUUUUGUCCGGAAAGAAAUCCUUGGCCCUAAUACGGUCGGGGGAUGACGGUACCGGAAGAAUAAGCACCGGCUAACUACGUG
RNAcentral lists this ribosomal RNA (486 nucleotides) under uncultured bacterium. RNAcentral's name for it is "partial 16S ribosomal RNA". It matches the Rfam family "Bacterial small subunit ribosomal RNA", at positions 30 to 507 of the family's 1533-position model. The record is from RNAcentral.